UUAGACCACACCCGCUUUGACUGUCAGACUCAUCUGCAGUGCUUGUGCCACUAGUGAGAUGCGCCUAAUGGGGGACUUCAUCCCCCACCUCACCCUGGUGCCCAACAAUUCAGAGACAGCACCAUCAGCCCAGAUGGGGGUUGUGAGCAAAGUCUGAGAUGGUCAGAAGGAAAGGAGAACCUGGGAGGUGGCGAGUGUCCACUGCAGCACCGCUCACUGCUCUAGUCUCAGGACAGCCUGCUCUGUUAAAGCACCUGGUCCUUCUUCCUGAAGACUUCAGUCCCACCUUGCAUUAUGUUUUGUUCUGUGUAUGUGCGUGUCUGUCUCUCCUGCUAACUGCUGAGCUUGCUAAGGAAAGGAACCUCGUUUUAUUAAAUAAAUGAUAUUUAUGAGC
This 394-nucleotide long non-coding RNA is filed under the name Pongo abelii (Sumatran orangutan). Its description in RNAcentral is "lincRNA". The record is from RNAcentral. Lineage: Eukaryota; Metazoa; Chordata; Mammalia; Primates; Hominidae.